This 4639-nucleotide long non-coding RNA is filed under the name Equus caballus (horse). RNAcentral's name for it is "lncRNA (ENSECAG00000029110.3)". Lineage: Eukaryota; Metazoa; Chordata; Mammalia; Perissodactyla; Equidae. The record is from RNAcentral.
GUGAAAUGUGUGCCUCAGAUCUGCAAAUGAAAGAGGAUCACAAACAUAUGGUUAAUGACUCAUCCCAAAUGGAAAAACAGAGUUUGUUAUAUUUUAUGGAGAUUUUACAUGUUGAAGGUACAUCUGUUGCUAUUUAUGCUGACAUGUAUGUAGAGAUUGGCAGACCAAGUCCUCUGUAGGGAUGAGCGAAAUCCAAACCAAACCACAGAACUUUCUAACUUGGAGGCUGGCUCCUGGGAUGGAAAACGGUUUCCUGAUCCCUUGAAACACUGCCCGGCUGAGCAGGGUGACUUGGAGAGGCCCACAUCACAGGACUGCACAGUUGGAUGAAGCAACAAAACGUCCUGCUUUGCUCAGGGCCUCCAGAGAGCGCAGAACAAAGGCAGGAAGCACGAGGGGUGCUGGAGAGCGCGGGGACCAGUCUCACAGCCUUCUCAGGACUCAACGCCUUCUUGGGGGACUGCUUCAGGCAAAAGAGACCACUUCCAUUCUGACACGAACGCACCACCCAGAAUCACACGAAACCUACUCCCUUUAGAUCUGCUAGUGACAUUCUCUAAGAGAAUGUCCAUGUGCUCUCACAGACAUUUUUUUUUUUUCCAGUUGAGAAGCUCCGGAGUACAGGAGAAACAACAGGUAAAUAAGCAACGAUACGACAAGGCUGAAGAGACAAGUGCCCUGAGAGUGUUGUGGGCUGAACGGUGUCCCCCCAAAUUCAUAUGUGGAGGCCCCAACCCCUGGUACCUCAGAAUGUGACCGUAUUUGGAGACAGAGUCUUUAAAGAAGUAAUGAAGUUAAAAUGAGGUCAUUAGGGAGGGCCCUAAUCCAAGUGUCCUUAUAAAAAGAGGCAAUUUGGACAGAGACAAGUACAGAAGGAAGACUGUGUGAGGACACAGGGAAAAGAUGACCAUCUACAACCCAAGGAGACAAGCUUCAGAAGAAACAGCCCUUCUGACACCUUGAUGCUAAAUAUCUAGCCUCCAGAACUGUGAGAAAAUAAAGUCCUAUUGUCUGAGUCACCCAGUCUGUGGUCCUUUGUUAUGGCAGCACAAGCAGAUGAGUGCAAGUCAACCAGAUAACGUGCUCUGAGAAUCCAGAGGUGGAAGAGAAGAUUUUGGUUUGGUGGGAUCAAAAAACAUCGUCUGGAAGAGGGAGCACAUUAAUUAUGGCGUGAGAGAUGGGUAGAGUCUGCUCCUGCACUGACAGCAAGGCUGAAUAAACAGAAUCAGAAGCUCAACUUGCUUAUACAGACCUGCCCAGGGCAGCAUUCGCAGUCCCCAGGGAGUCCUCCACAUCAUCCACGGGGAAGUUCUCCCCACUCUUGUGGCCAGGGCUCCGCCGCGGCAUACACGGUCCUCGCUGUCUGAUCCUUUCCAACAGUCAACUCUACUCCAGAUUCAGAUAACCAUGAUCCUGCCCUCCGGAAGUCAGAAAAGAAUGAAUAACUUUGAACACAUCACAGCAAUAAAAAUAUAAGAAUAAUGCUGGGGUCAUCACAAACAGAGGCAGAUGGUGGUGGCAUUUCCUUCUUGCCGGGAGCUCAGAUAUUAUCUGGAUAGAUUUCAGCAGGCUUUGUGUCCAUUCCCUCUCAGCGCGGGCAGCUUUCCUGGAUAGAGCCCCAGCCACCCAAACGGCAGACAGAUUUGAUUUAACUGCGAUGACUUGUGGAGUUUUUCUACCUUUGGUAGAGCUGCCUCCAGACAAGGGAGAUGAGAAGAGGCUCUGGCCUGCUGACGCUAAGUGGAGAAGCAUUUGCAGGUGUUCUCCAAUGGGAUCUGGAUUUUCAAACUUUCUUUCUCAAGGGUUCUGCAAUGUUGCACCCCAACAGGCACAAAGGCAGGGCUGCCAUGCUCUACAGAGUGGAACUUGAAGAUUCAUCAGAGACCUUGUCCAAGAUUUGGAACAGACCCAGCGUUGUUCCAAGGAACCUAACCCAGCCUGUGAGAGACUCCUACAGGCCGUCUCUGGUGCCACAACCUUCCAUUGGGGCUGGAACACUGGUUAUGCUUAUGAGCUUUCAAAGUAGAAUGUCAACCUCAUCACCCAUUUGCAUGAUUUCCAAAGCAUAUUAAUCUGGCUUCCACUAGUAACACAGAAUAUAACAUAUCUUACUUGCAACAGGAAAUAUUUCCUUUCUACUAUUUGCUAUUCUUCAUCAUUAAAAAAAAUCUGUCUGAAAUCUAAAUACCCAGAAAGAGGGGUGGGCUCACAGGGAACACAACCAUUUGGUGGAUCACUGCUCAACCUGAAGCAACAGAAAUAUGAAGGCCACAGAGCAACUUCAAAACUGCAUUUGAUGCUAAUUUAAAACAAAGUACUACUCAAACUUUCAUAGAUGAAAAUCACAUAAUUUUUAAACAAAUACUUUAAAUAGUCUGAAAUGAGAAAUAAUUGAUGCCAAAGGUCAAAACUGGCAAUCCAAGAGUUGGGUCUGGCCCGAAAGUGUGUCUCAUAUGGCCCACACGGUGGGGGUCAGCUGAGUUUGAAUAAAAAACGGAGUAGGUUGCCAACAUUUAGAAAUUGGCACAUGGCACAUAACCACCCGGAUUGCUGCCUUCUCCUGAGACACUGGGCAAUCUGGCCUCGGCAGGCUGCUUUCCCUCCAGGCAACAGUUGGGGGCAGGUGAUGGGCAUUUGUCAUCCAGGUUGCCAGAGUCCCUGCUGGGCCAGAUUUCUCGCUCAUUGAGUUUGUAAGCCUGGCCCAGGUGCAAGGGUGGUAGGGUUCUGGGUCAUUUUCCCUCUCUCCCCUUCUUCCAAAACUUGCUCUUGGUUAUUAUGCUACUUCAGAGUUAAAAUAAUCAUUAAAUGCCCAGUUGUAAAAGGUAAUGUGGAGGAAGAGAGUCUGAGGCCCAUACUACUUCUCUACUUCUUGGAUGUUAUUUUCACAUUUCUAGCCUUACGCCCAGUGCACUCGCUUGAGAAUGUGAGCGUGGCCCCGUGGUUCUCGAACGUGGCUACACUAGAAUCACCUGGGGCACUUUUGAUGUCCAGCUUGCACUCCAGACCAAUUAAAUCAGACUCUUGGGAAGUGGGAUUCAGGCAACAGAUUUUUAAAGUUCCCAGGUGAUUCCAAUGUAAAAAGGUCCUUGAAAAAAUCAUGGAAAACUUUAUGUUAGAGCAGUUUCUCAAGCUCGUCACUAUUUUCAUUUGGGACCUGAUAAAUCUUAUUUCUGGGGACCAGUCCUAUGGACUGUAGGAUGUUUAGCAGCAUCUCUGGCCUCUACCCAUAGAUGCAGUAGCAUUUCUCCAGAUGAGAACCACGGCAUUCGAUAGUGAAACUAUGGUCAUUUUUUUUUUAAAGAUUUUAUUUUUUUCCUUUUUCUCCCCAAAGACCCCCGGUAGAUAGUUUCUUUGUUGUGGGUCCUUCCAGCUGUGGCAUGUGGGACGCCACCUCAGCGUGGCCUGAUGAGCAGUGCCAUGUCCGCGCCCAGGACUCGAACCAAUGAAACACUGGGCCGCCUGCAGUGGAGUGCGUGAACUUAACCACUCAGCCACGGGGCCAGCCCCCGAAACUGUGGUCAUUGUAUUGGCCACUUGCCUGUAUAUAAGGUCACUGAGAAAUUUCUCUUGGAAUUAAAAUCUAGGAACAAAAUUUUUCUCUUAAGAAAGUGGUUCCCUUUUGUUGUUUUUUUCCCCUUUACUAUCAGGAAGCUCAAAGCCAAUGCUAAAAUGCAUUCAAAACCAAAACUAAAGCAGAAACAAGACAACUACUCCAGUGUGUUUUCUCCCCUCUGCAUGUCUGCCUGAUGCUAAUUUUCCUAUUAACGUUUUGUUAAUCUUUAAGUUGCUUUACAUUCUUAGGGAAUAAAGUAGGAAAUAAAUAUAAAGAAGGUAACAAGCAAAAGGAGGGAAUGACUGUUCCAUGCACUGCUUGGUAUUUAUGACCCAAAGAACAGUUGGUCAUAAGGAAGACCUGCUAAAUUUGAAUGACCUCAUAGUUUUUGGAGGAUCAGCCAGGCAUACAUGGCAAAUAAGGGUCAACCCCUUUAGCCUCCAGCUUUGUCUGGGAAGAGGCUGAGCUAUGGGGGUGUUGAAGGAGCCCAAUGGCCACCAUGUGGUGGCCUCUAGGAGAAUAAGCACAAGCUUCUGUUGUUUCCUGAGAAUGCCACCUCCUGCUGUUUACUAGGAGUCUGGGAAGUGUCUGAGAGGCGAUGCUGUUCAGGGCAACCUGGGAUCCAGCCCUGGGAUAACACCAUCACCUGCUUUCCGUGAAUGAAGAGCAGAUUACUUUUAGUAAAUACAACCACUCAUUAAUAACCCUAAGUUUUAAAGCUUUUAAAGAAAUCAUUAUUAAGUGUGGCUACUUCAUUUUAAAUGCAAAAACCUUGAAUAGACCAGAGAUCUUAAUUUUUUUAAAGAAGCUGAGUAUUUUAAUUAUGAAUGUACUUGCAUAUUCUUAGCAUACUUCAUUAUUUAUGUAGCCGGUGAAAAAGCUUUCUAAUUAAAUAGCAUGCUGGCAAUCCAUUGUGAAAUGUAUAAAUGCAGGUUUUCCUAGCAUUAAAAAACUACACACAAACACACACGAACCAUUCUGGCAAGCACACAUCCUUUAAUCGCUAUGAGAUACUUGUUUCUGAAUGAUCUUAAGCUUUAUCAAACUUUUGUUUUAUUGGUAACAAAAUAAACAGUAUAAUUUGCC